GGACGAACGCUGGCGGCGUGCCUAACACAUGCAAGUCGAACGGAGCACUUCGGUGCUUAGUGGCGAACGGGUGAGUAACGCGUGAGAAACCUGCCUUUCAGAGGGGGGAUAACGUUUGGAAACGAACGCUAAUACCGCAUAACAUCAUUAGAUGGCAUCGUCUGAUGAUCAAAGGAGCAAUCCGCUGAAAGAUGGGCUCGCGUCCGAUUAGAUAGUUGGUGAGGUAACGGGCUCACCAAGUCGACGAUCAGUAGCCGGACUGAGAGGUUGAACGGCCACAUUGGGACUGAGACACGGCCCAGACUCCUACGGGAGGCAGCAGUGGGGGAUAUUGCACAAUGGGCGAAAGCCUGAUGCGGCAACGCCGCGUGAGGGAAGAAGGUCUUCGGAUUGUAAACCUUUGUUUUUGGUGACGAAUUCUGACGGUAGCCAAAGAGGAAGCCACGGCUAACUACGUG
RNAcentral lists this ribosomal RNA (458 nucleotides) under uncultured bacterium. RNAcentral's name for it is "bacterial SSU rRNA". It matches the Rfam family "Bacterial small subunit ribosomal RNA", at positions 27 to 507 of the family's 1533-position model. The record is from RNAcentral.